RNAcentral lists this ribosomal RNA (253 nucleotides) under uncultured prokaryote. Its description in RNAcentral is "partial 16S ribosomal RNA". It matches the Rfam family "Bacterial small subunit ribosomal RNA", at positions 524 to 776 of the family's 1533-position model. The record is from RNAcentral.
UGCGUAGGGGGCGAGCGUUGUCCGGAAUUACUGGGCGUAAAGGGUGCGUAGGCGGCCAAACAAGUCGGAUGUGAAAUGCCUCUGCUUAACGGAGGAGUUGCAUACGAAACUGUAUGGCUUGAGUGCAGGAGAGGAAAGCGGAAUUCCUAGUGUAGCGGUGAAAUGCAUAGAUAUUAGGAGGAACACCAGUGGCGAAGGCGGCUUUCUGGACUGUAACUGACGCUGAGGCACGAAAGCGUGGGGAGCAAACAGG